Oncorhynchus tshawytscha (Chinook salmon) is the source of this 569-nucleotide long non-coding RNA. The record is from Ensembl. Lineage: Eukaryota; Metazoa; Chordata; Actinopteri; Salmoniformes; Salmonidae.
CUCUAAUGUAGCUAUACUAGACUGGUUCUCCCUCCUCCUCCUCUCUAAUGUAUCUAUACUAGACUGGUUCUCCCUCCUCCUCCUCUCUAUUGUAUCUAUCCGAGACUUGUUCUCCCUCCUCCUCCUCUUUAAUGUAGCUCUACUAGACUGGUUCUCCCUCCUCCUCUCUAAUGUAUCUAUACUAGACGGGUUUUCCCUCCUCCUCUCUAAUGUAGCUAUAGUAGACUGGUUCUCCCUCCUCCUCCUCUAUUAUGUAGCUGUACUAGACUGGUUCUCCCUCCUCCUCCUCUCUAAUGUAGCUGUACUAGACUGGUUCUCCCUACUCCUCCUCUCUAAUGUAGCUAUACUAGACUGGUUCUCCCUCCUCCUCCUCUCUAAUGUAGCUAUACUAGACUGGUUCUCCCUCCUCCUCCUCUCUAAUGUAGCUAUACUAGACUGGUUCUCCAUCCUCCUCUCUAAUGUAGCUAUACUAGACUGGUUCUCUCUCCUCCUCUCUAAUAUAGCUGUACAUGACUGGUUCUCCAUCCUCCUCUCUAAUGUAUCUAUACUAGACUGGUUCUCCCUCCUCC